CUGGCGGCACGCCUUAUACAUGCAAGUCGAACGAAGUAGUAAUACUUAGUGGCAGACGGGUGAGUAACAUGUAGGUAUCUUCCCUUUGGUGAGGAAUAACACGAGGAAACUUGUGCUAAUACCUCAUAAGUCUUUACGGAGAAAGCUUUAUGCGCCAAUGGAUGAGCCUGCACUUGAUUAGUUUGUUGGUGGGGUAAUGGCCUACCAAGACUUUGAUCAAUAGCUGAUCUGAGAGGAUGAUCAGCCACAUUGGGACUGAGACACGGCCCAAACUCCUACGGGAGGCAGCAGUAGGGAAUAUUGCACAAUGGAGGAAACUCUGAUGCAGCGAUGCCGCGUGAGUGAAGAAGGCCUUUGGGUUGUAAAGCUCUUUCGUCGGGGAAGAAAAUGACGGUACCCGAAUAAGAAGGUCCGGCUAACU
This 421-nucleotide ribosomal RNA is filed under the name uncultured bacterium. Its description in RNAcentral is "bacterial SSU rRNA". It matches the Rfam family "Bacterial small subunit ribosomal RNA", at positions 36 to 502 of the family's 1533-position model. The record is from RNAcentral.